This 1537-nucleotide ribosomal RNA is filed under the name Staphylococcus aureus subsp. aureus CIGC345D. RNAcentral describes it as "16S ribosomal RNA". It matches the Rfam family "Bacterial small subunit ribosomal RNA". The record is from RNAcentral. Lineage: Bacteria; Bacillati; Bacillota; Bacilli; Caryophanales; Staphylococcaceae.
GAGUUUGAUCCUGGCUCAGGAUGAACGCUGGCGGCGUGCCUAAUACAUGCAAGUCGAGCGAACGGACGAGAAGCUUGCUUCUCUGAUGUUAGCGGCGGACGGGUGAGUAACACGUGGAUAACCUACCUAUAAGACUGGGAUAACUUCGGGAAACCGUAGCUAAUACCGGAUAAUAUUUUGAACCGCAUGGUUCAAAAGUGAAAGACGGUCUUGCUGUCACUUAUAGAUGGAUCCGCGCUGCAUUAGCUAGUUGGUAAGGUAACGGCUUACCAAGGCAACGAUGCAUAGCCGACCUGAGAGGGUGAUCGGCCACACUGGAACUGAGACACGGUCCAGACUCCUACGGGAGGCAGCAGUAGGGAAUCUUCCGCAAUGGGCGAAAGCCUGACGGAGCAACGCCGCGUGAGUGAUGAAGGUCUUCGGAUCGUAAAACUCUGUUAUUAGGGAAGAACAUAUGUGUAAGUAACUGUGCACAUCUUGACGGUACCUAAUCAGAAAGCCACGGCUAACUACGUGCCAGCAGCCGCGGUAAUACGUAGGUGGCAAGCGUUAUCCGGAAUUAUUGGGCGUAAAGCGCGCGUAGGCGGUUUUUUAAGUCUGAUGUGAAAGCCCACGGCUCAACCGUGGAGGGUCAUUGGAAACUGGAAAACUUGAGUGCAGAAGAGGAAAGUGGAAUUCCAUGUGUAGCGGUGAAAUGCGCAGAGAUAUGGAGGAACACCAGUGGCGAAGGCGACUUUCUGGUCUGUAACUGACGCUGAUGUGCGAAAGCGUGGGGAUCAAACAGGAUUAGAUACCCUGGUAGUCCACGCCGUAAACGAUGAGUGCUAAGUGUUAGGGGUUUCCGCCACUUAGUGCUGCAGCUAACGCAUUAAGCACUCCGCCUGGGGAGUACGACCGCAAGGUUGAAACUCAAAGGAAUUGACGGGGACCCGCACAAGCGGUGGAGCAUGUGGUUUAAUUCGAAGCAACGCGAAGAACCUUACCAAAUCUUGACAUCCUUUGACAACUCUAGAGAUAGAGCCUUCCCCUUCGGGGGACAAAGUGACAGGUGGUGCAUGGUUGUCGUCAGCUCGUGUCGUGAGAUGUUGGGUUAAGUCCCGCAACGAGCGCAACCCUUAAGCUUAGUUGCCAUCAUUAAGUUGGGCACUCUAAGUUGACUGCCGGUGACAAACCGGAGGAAGGUGGGGAUGACGUCAAAUCAUCAUGCCCCUUAUGAUUUGGGCUACACACGUGCUACAAUGGACAAUACAAAGGGCAGCGAAACCGCGAGGUCAAGCAAAUCCCAUAAAGUUGUUCUCAGUUCGGAUUGUAGUCUGCAACUCGACUACAUGAAGCUGGAAUCGCUAGUAAUCGUAGAUCAGCAUGCUACGGUGAAUACGUUCCCGGGUCUUGUACACACCGCCCGUCACACCACGAGAGUUUGUAACACCCGAAGCCGGUGGAGUAACCUUUUAGGAGCUAGCCGUCGAAGGUGGGACAAAUGAUUGGGGUGAAGUCGUAACAAGGUAGCCGUAUCGGAAGGUGCGGCUGGAUCACC